UUUCGUAAUAGUAGAAUACAG
Caenorhabditis elegans is the source of this 21-nucleotide non-coding RNA. The record is from Ensembl. Lineage: Eukaryota; Metazoa; Nematoda; Chromadorea; Rhabditida; Rhabditidae.